RNAcentral lists this long non-coding RNA (757 nucleotides) under Homo sapiens (human). RNAcentral's name for it is "non-protein coding lnc-DVL1-2:1". Lineage: Eukaryota; Metazoa; Chordata; Mammalia; Primates; Hominidae. The record is from RNAcentral.
ACUUAGAGCCGAGUGGGACAAAGCCUGGGGCUGGGCGGGGGCCAUGGCGCUGCCAUCCCGAAUCCUGCUUUGGAAACUUGUGCUUCUGCAGAGCUCUGCUGUUCUCCUGCACUCAGACCCUUCUGGGCUCUGCCCGCUGGGGGCCUGAAGACAUUCCUGGAGGACACUCCCAUCAGAACCUGGCAGCCCCAAAACUGGGGUCAGCCUCAGGGCAGGAGUCCCACUCCUCCAGGGCUCUGCUCGUCGGGGGCUGGGAGAUGUUCCUGGAGGAGGACACUCCCAUCAGAACUUGGCAGCCUUGAAGUUGGGGUCAGCCUCGGCAGGAGUCCCACUCCUCCUGGGGUGCUGCCUGCCACCGAGAGCUCCCCCACCUGUACCACCAUGUGGGACUCCAGGCACCAUCUGUUCUCCCCAGGGACCUGCUGACUUGAAUGCCAGCCCUUGCUCCUCUGUGUUGCUUUGGGCCACCUGGGGCUGCACCCCUUGCCCUUUCUCUGCCCCAUCCCUACCCUAGCCUUGCUCUCAGCCACCUUGAUAGUCACUGGGCUCCCUGUGACUUCUGACCCUGACACCCCUCCCUUGGACUCUGCCUGGGCUGGAGUCUAGGGCUGGGGCUACAUUUGGCUUCUGUACUGGCUGAGGACAGGGGAGGGAGUGAAGUUGGUUUGGGGUGGCCUGUGUUGCCACUCUCAGCACCCCACAUUUGCAUCUGCUGGUGGACCUGCCACCAUCACAAUAAAGUCCCCAUCUGAUUUUU